CUGUUGAAACUUCCCAUGUUGAGGACUCGGAUGGAAAUAGUUCACGAAAAAUUAUACCACCAAGAAGAUUUAGAGGUAUAAAAUCUGUGCUGACACUGUAAAUAAGGUAAAGUUUUCACACCGAAAGACAAUUGCAGUUGUAACUUUUGUUUCUUGCAGAAGAAGAACUUCGGGCGCCCAUACCUAGAAAGACACCACAGACAAAACACUUUCUUGAGGAAAGUGAAUCAUCCCAAGAUGAGAUUUUCAGUUUGAAAGCAAAGAAAAUUAACAAACGGCCAAGAUCAACAGCAAUUGCAUCUACGU
Long non-coding RNA from Cyprinus carpio carpio, 306 nucleotides. The record is from Ensembl. Lineage: Eukaryota; Metazoa; Chordata; Actinopteri; Cypriniformes; Cyprinidae.